GAGAGUUGUUGGAAAGAUCUUCAAACUUCCACUAGGGACUGCCACUGCCUUAGAGCACGAAAUCUGUAGAAUGGUAUAGAGAUAAAAAUUAAAGAAAUAGGACCAUCAUUUAUAGAAACCCCACAUGACUCAACUCAAGCAUUGGUUCGGCCAAGCCCGAUGGAUGGCUGCCAUUUGGCAUGGCUUGGUUGGCCAAAUCGAUUUUCCCCACAUGGCUUAUUUAUUAAACCCUUGAGCAGCUCAAGUGACAUGUCAAUUCAAUUAGCCCCAACCAAACGGCGUGCUGACACCUAGCAUCUUUUUAAUGACUUACACUGAUCUCCUGUAGAGGGCAAUCAAAUAGAUUGACACUUCAUCUAGCAUGAAAAGAUGAAUGUGAUGCUUCAUCUAAAAGAAUGGAGGCACAGCACAUGUCCCUUGCAGGACCAAGUGAAGCAACCGAGUAUACUCCUUUCAUUCGACCCACAAUUCUAGUUUGGAUUCGAGAGUAUAGAGGUAUAUGAUAUGGAUAGAUAACUCUUUCCUCAGU
Molecule: long non-coding RNA, 529 nt
Filed under: Elaeis guineensis (African oil palm)
Lineage: Eukaryota; Viridiplantae; Streptophyta; Magnoliopsida; Arecales; Arecaceae
Description: long non-coding RNA (EGUI_LNC047099)
Source: RNAcentral